RNAcentral lists this ribosomal RNA (252 nucleotides) under uncultured bacterium. RNAcentral describes it as "partial 16S ribosomal RNA". It matches the Rfam family "Bacterial small subunit ribosomal RNA", at positions 524 to 776 of the family's 1533-position model. The record is from RNAcentral.
UACGUAGGGGGCAAGCGUUGUCCGGAAUUAUUGGGCGUAAAGCGCGCGCAGGCGGUCCUUUAAGUCUUGUGUUUAAUGCCAAAGCUCAACUUUGGUACGCAUGGGAAACUGGGGGACUGGAGUGCAGGAGAGGAAAGUGGAAUUCCACGUGUAGCGGUGAAAUGCGUAGAGAUGUGGAGGAACACCAGUGGCGAAGGCGACUUUCUGGCCUGUAACUGACGCUGAGGUGCGAAAGCGUGGGGAGCAAACAGG